This 292-nucleotide ribosomal RNA is filed under the name uncultured bacterium. RNAcentral's name for it is "partial 16S ribosomal RNA". It matches the Rfam family "Bacterial small subunit ribosomal RNA", at positions 505 to 796 of the family's 1533-position model. The record is from RNAcentral.
GUGUCAGCAGCCGCGGUAAUACGGAGGGCGCAAGCGUUGUUCGGAAUUACUGGGCGUAAAGCGCGUGUAGGCGGCUAAGCAAGUCGGUUGUGAAAGCCCAGGGCCCAACCCUGGAAUUGCGUCCGAAACUGCUUGGCUAGAGUCCUGGAGAGGAAGGCAGAAUUCCCAGUGUAGGGGUGAAAUCCGUAGAUACUGGGAGGAAUACCCGUAGCGAAGGCGGCCUUCUGGACAGUGACUGACGCUCAGACGCGAAAGCGUGGGGAGCAAACAGGAUUAGAUACCCCUGUAGUCC